GACGAACGCUGGCGGCGUGCUUAACACAUGCAAGUCGAACGAUGAAGCCCAGCUUGCUGGGUGGAUUAGUGGCGAACGGGUGAGUAACACGUGAGUAACCUGCCCCUGACUCUGGGAUAAGCGUUGGAAACGACGUCUAAUACUGGAUAUGACUACUGGUCGCAUGGUCUGGUGGUGGAAAGAUUUUUUGGUUGGGGAUGGACUCGCGGCCUAUCAGCUUGUUGGUGAGGUAAUGGCUCACCAAGGCGACGACGGGUAGCCGGCCUGAGAGGGUGACCGGCCACACUGGGACUGAGACACGGCCCAGACUCCUACGGGAGGCAGCAGUGGGGAAUAUUGCACAAUGGGCGAAAGCCUGAUGCAGCAACGCCGCGUGAGGGAUGACGGCCUUCGGGUUGUAAACCUCUUUUAGUAGGGAAGAAGCGAAAGUGACGGUACCUGCAGAAAAAGCACCGGCUAACUACGUGCCAGCAGCCGCGGUAAUACGUAGGGUGCAAGCGUUGUCCGGGAAUUAUUGGGCGUAAAGAGCUCGUAGGCGGUUUGUCGCGUCUGCUGUGAAAUCCCGAGGCUCAACCUCGGGCUUGCAGUGGGUACGGGCAGACUAGAGUGCGGUAGGGGAGAUUGGAAUUCCUGGUGUAGCGGUGGAAUGCGCAGAUAUCAGGAGGAACACCGAUGGCGAAGGCAGAUCUCUGGGCCGUAACUGACGCUGAGGAGCGAAAGCGUGGGGAGCGAACAGGAUUAGAUACCCUGGUAGUCCACGCCGUAAACGUUGGGCGCUAGAUGUAGGGACCUUUCCACGGUUUCUGUGUCGUAGCUAACGCAUUAAGCGCCCCGCCUGGGGAGUACGGCCGCAAGGCUAAAACUCAAAGGAAUUGACGGGGGCCCGCACAAGCGGCGGAGCAUGCGGAUUAAUUCGAUGCAACGCGAAGAACCUUACCAAGGCUUGACAUACACCGGAAACGGCCAGAGAUGGUCGCCCCCUUGUGGUCGGUGUACAGGUGGUGCAUGGUUGUCGUCAGCUCGUGUCGUGAGAUGUUGGGUUAAGUCCCGCAACGAGCGCAACCCUCGUUCUAUGUUGCCAGCGCGUUAUGGCGGGGACUCAUAGGAGACUGCCGGGGUCAACUCGGAGGAAGGUGGGGAUGACGUCAAAUCAUCAUGCCCCUUAUGUCUUGGGCUUCACGCAUGCUACAAUGGCCGGUACAAAGGGCUGCGAUACCGUAAGGUGGAGCGAAUCCCAAAAAGCCGGUCUCAGUUCGGAUUGAGGUCUGCAACUCGACCUCAUGAAGUCGGAGUCGCUAGUAAUCGCAGAUCAGCAACGCUGCGGUGAAUACGUUCCCGGGCCUUGUACACACCGCCCGUCAAGUCAUGAAAGUCGGUAACACCCGAAGCCGGUGGCCUAACCCUUGUGGAAGGAGCCGUCGAAGGUGGGAUCGGUGAUUAGG
RNAcentral lists this ribosomal RNA (1442 nucleotides) under Curtobacterium luteum. RNAcentral describes it as "16S ribosomal RNA". It matches the Rfam family "Bacterial small subunit ribosomal RNA". Lineage: Bacteria; Bacillati; Actinomycetota; Actinomycetes; Micrococcales; Microbacteriaceae. The record is from RNAcentral.